GAAACUUAAAGGAAUUGGCGGGGGUGCACCACAAGGCGUGAAGCUUGCGGUUCAAUUGGAGUCAACGCCGGGAACCUUACCGGGGGCGACAGCAGUAUGAUGGCCAGAUUGAAGGUCUUGCUUGACAAGCUGAGAGGAGGUGCAUGGCCGUCGCCAGUUCGUGCCGUGAGGUGUCCUGUUAAGUCAGGCAACGAUCGAGACCCGCACCCCUAGUUGCUACUGAGGAAGUUUUCCGAGGGGCACUCUAGGGGGACUGCCGUCGACAAGACGGAGGAAGGAGCGGGCUACGGNAGGUCANUAUGCCCCGAAUCCCCCGGGCUACNCGCGNGCUGCNAUGG
This 338-nucleotide ribosomal RNA is filed under the name uncultured crenarchaeote. RNAcentral describes it as "bacterial SSU rRNA". It matches the Rfam family "Archaeal small subunit ribosomal RNA", at positions 851 to 1189 of the family's 1478-position model. The record is from RNAcentral. Lineage: Archaea; Thermoproteati; Thermoproteota.